RNAcentral lists this long non-coding RNA (735 nucleotides) under Ictidomys tridecemlineatus (thirteen-lined ground squirrel). RNAcentral's name for it is "lncRNA (ENSSTOG00000030651.1)". The record is from RNAcentral. Lineage: Eukaryota; Metazoa; Chordata; Mammalia; Rodentia; Sciuridae.
GCUCUACUUCUCAUUCAGUCUCCCUCCAUCUUCUUCCUGCAACCUAAUGUCAUUCUGGGAUUUACCUGUUGCCCUUCCAGGUGAAGAAGAUGGAAAAGGGGAUAAAAAAACUGCUUCAUUUGACUUCAAGAAAAAAAUCCUCCAAUACUAGGACAAAUAAGGUGAAGAGAGUGAAGAAGUCCAAGAAGUUUCAACCAUUAUCCGGGACUGAUUAGAAGCCAAAGCCAAAUCACUCAGGCCAACCUCCAGGGACUCCACAAGAUAACACUCCUUCAAGACACAAAUCCAUCUGAAGCAAAGCUCCUUACUUCAGAAGAUUGGCAUUUCUGGACAAGAUACCACCUUGACUGUUCUAGAUUCUUCGAAAUCCUACCAGUCCUGCCAGGGGGAUGUGUUCUGAAGCUCGGAAUAUUUGAAGUGCAGAGAGAAAAAGAUUCUGUCAACUGACACCAUCUAUGACCUAAGAUAACAUCUGCACACAGAGAUCUCCCUGGACAUGUCAUUGUCUCCACUGAAUAAAUCUGGCUACCUUGAUUGUGCCAUACGUUGUCUCUUUUUAUAUAACUGACUGGCCUCAUUCUCCUGGUUCAUCCCAUAGGUUCGCCAUUAACCUUACUCAGAAGCACGAAAAUCAUGAAAUGGCCUUGUGUGCACCUCCAGAAGUCAUAGUCUUUGGCCUUCCUUCCCUUGUGUUCCCUACCCUUCUCCUUUCUCUCCCUGCCAUUUUAUGUCAUA